UUAAGCGACUAAGCGUACACGGUGGAUGCCCUGGCAGUCAGAGGCGAUGAAGGACGUGCUAAUCUGCGAUAAGCGUCGGUAAGGUGAUAUGAACCGUUAUAACCGGCGAUUUCCGAAUGGGGAAACCCAGUGUGAUUCGUCACACUAUCAUUAACUGAAUCCAUAGGUUAAUGAGGCGAACCGGGGGAACUGAAACAUCUAAGUACCCCGAGGAAAAGAAAUCAACCGAGAUUCCCCCAGUAGCGGCGAGCGAACGGGGAGCAGCCCAGAGCCUGAAUCAGUGUGUGUGUUAGUGGAAGCGUCUGGAAAGGCGCGCGAUACAGGGUGACAGCCCCGUACACAAAAAUGCACAUGCUGUGAGCUCGAUGAGUAGGGCGGGACACGUGGUAUCCUGUCUGAAUAUGGGGGGACCAUCCUCCAAGGCUAAAUACUCCUGACUGACCGAUAGUGAACCAGUACCGUGAGGGAAAGGCGAAAAGAACCCCGGCGAGGGGAGUGAAAAAGAACCUGAAACCGUGUACGUACAAGCAGUGGGAGCACGCUUAGGCGUGUGACUGCGUACCUUUUGUAUAAUGGGUCAGCGACUUAUAUUCUGUAGCAAGGUUAACCGAAUAGGGGAGCCGAAGGGAAACCGAGUCUUAACUGGGCGUUAAGUUGCAGGGUAUAGACCCGAAACCCGGUGAUCUAGCCAUGGGCAGGUUGAAGGUUGGGUAACACUAACUGGAGGACCGAACCGACUAAUGUUGAAAAAUUAGCGGAUGACUUGUGGCUGGGGGUGAAAGGCCAAUCAAACCGGGAGAUAGCUGGUUCUCCCCGAAAGCUAUUUAGGUAGCGCCUCGUGAAUUCAUCUCCGGGGGUAGAGCACUGUUUCGGCAAGGGGGUCAUCCCGACUUACCAACCCGAUGCAAACUGCGAAUACCGGAGAAUGUUAUCACGGGAGACACACGGCGGGUGCUAACGUCCGUCGUGAAGAGGGAAACAACCCAGACCGCCAGCUAAGGUCCCAAAGUCAUGGUUAAGUGGGAAACGAUGUGGGAAGGCCCAGACAGCCAGGAUGUUGGCUUAGAAGCAGCCAUCAUUUAAAGAAAGCGUAAUAGCUCACUGGUCGAGUCGGCCUGCGCGGAAGAUGUAACGGGGCUAAACCAUGCACCGAAGCUGCGGCAGCGACGCUGAUGCGUUGUUGGGUAGGGGAGCGUUCUGUAAGCCUGCGAAGGUGUGCUGUGAGGCAUGCUGGAGGUAUCAGAAGUGCGAAUGCUGACAUAAGUAACGAUAAAGCGGGUGAAAAGCCCGCUCGCCGGAAGACCAAGGGUUCCUGUCCAACGUUAAUCGGGGCAGGGUGAGUCGACCCCUAAGGCGAGGCCGAAAGGCGUAGUCGAUGGGAAACAGGUUAAUAUUCCUGUACUUGGUGUUACUGCGAAGGGGGGACGGAGAAGGCUAUGUUGGCCGGGCGACGGUUGUCCCGGUUUAAGCGUGUAGGCUGGUUUUCCAGGCAAAUCCGGAAAAUCAAGGCUGAGGCGUGAUGACGAGGCACUACGGUGCUGAAGCAACAAAUGCCCUGCUUCCAGGAAAAGCCUCUAAGCAUCAGGUAACAUCAAAUCGUACCCCAAACCGACACAGGUGGUCAGGUAGAGAAUACCAAGGCGCUUGAGAGAACUCGGGUGAAGGAACUAGGCAAAAUGGUGCCGUAACUUCGGGAGAAGGCACGCUGAUAUGUAGGUGAAGUCCCUCGCGGAUGGAGCUGAAAUCAGUCGAAGAUACCAGCUGGCUGCAACUGUUUAUUAAAAACACAGCACUGUGCAAACACGAAAGUGGACGUAUACGGUGUGACGCCUGCCCGGUGCCGGAAGGUUAAUUGAUGGGGUCAGCGCAAGCGAAGCUCUUGAUCGAAGCCCCGGUAAACGGCGGCCGUAACUAUAACGGUCCUAAGGUAGCGAAAUUCCUUGUCGGGUAAGUUCCGACCUGCACGAAUGGCGUAAUGAUGGCCAGGCUGUCUCCACCCGAGACUCAGUGAAAUUGAACUCGCUGUGAAGAUGCAGUGUACCCGCGGCAAGACGGAAAGACCCCGUGAACCUUUACUAUAGCUUGACACUGAACAUUGAGCCUUGAUGUGUAGGAUAGGUGGGAGGCUUUGAAGUGUGGACGCCAGUCUGCAUGGAGCCGACCUUGAAAUACCACCCUUUAAUGUUUGAUGUUCUAACGUUGACCCGUAAUCCGGGUUGCGGACAGUGUCUGGUGGGUAGUUUGACUGGGGCGGUCUCCUCCUAAAGAGUAACGGAGGAGCACGAAGGUUGGCUAAUCCUGGUCGGACAUCAGGAGGUUAGUGCAAUGGCAUAAGCCAGCUUGACUGCGAGCGUGACGGCGCGAGCAGGUGCGAAAGCAGGUCAUAGUGAUCCGGUGGUUCUGAAUGGAAGGGCCAUCGCUCAACGGAUAAAAGGUACUCCGGGGAUAACAGGCUGAUACCGCCCAAGAGUUCAUAUCGACGGCGGUGUUUGGCACCUCGAUGUCGGCUCAUCACAUCCUGGGGCUGAAGUAGGUCCCAAGGGUAUGGCUGUUCGCCAUUUAAAGUGGUACGCGAGCUGGGUUUAGAACGUCGUGAGACAGUUCGGUCCCUAUCUGCCGUGGGCGCUGGAGAAUUGAGGGGGGCUGCUCCUAGUACGAGAGGACCGGAGUGGACGCAUCACUGGUGUUCGGGUUGUCAUGCCAAUGGCACUGCCCGGUAGCUAAAUGCGGAAGAGAUAAGUGCUGAAAGCAUCUAAGCACGAAACUUGCCCCGAGAUGAGUUCUCCCUGACUCCUUGAGAGUCCUGAAGGAACGUUGAAGACGACGACGUUGAUAGGCCGGGUGUGUAAGCGCAGCGAUGCGUUGAGCUAACCGGUACUAAUGAACCGUGAGGCUUAACCUU
Molecule: ribosomal RNA, 2902 nt
Filed under: Escherichia coli DEC14D
Lineage: Bacteria; Pseudomonadati; Pseudomonadota; Gammaproteobacteria; Enterobacterales; Enterobacteriaceae
Description: bacterial LSU rRNA
Rfam family: Bacterial large subunit ribosomal RNA
Source: RNAcentral